UAAAAAUUAGUUAAAUUAUAACAUAAGCUUGUCAUGCUUAAAUUAUCUAAUAAAGAUAUUUUUAA
Molecule: transfer RNA, 65 nt
Filed under: Shinkaia crosnieri
Lineage: Eukaryota; Metazoa; Arthropoda; Malacostraca; Decapoda; Munidopsidae
Description: tRNA-Asp
Source: RNAcentral